This 497-nucleotide ribosomal RNA is filed under the name uncultured bacterium. RNAcentral's name for it is "partial 16S ribosomal RNA". It matches the Rfam family "Bacterial small subunit ribosomal RNA", at positions 28 to 507 of the family's 1533-position model. The record is from RNAcentral.
GACGAACGCUGGCGGCGUGCCUAAUACAUGCAAGUAGAACGCUGAAGAGAGGAGCUUGCUCUUCUUGGAUGAGUUGCGAACGGGUGAGUAACGCGUAGGUAACCUGCCCUGUAGCGGGGGAUAACUAUUGGAAACGAUAGCUAAUACCGCAUAACAAUGGAUGACACAUGUCAUUUAUUUGAAAGGGGCAAUUGUUCCACUACAAGAUGGACCUGCGUUGUAUUAGCUAGUAGGUGAGGUAAUGGCUCACCUAGGCGACGAUACAUAGCCGACCUGAGAGGGUGAUCGGCCACACUGGGACUGAGACACGGCCCAGACUCCUACGGGAGGCAGCAGUAGGGAAUCUUCGGCAAUGGGGGCAACCCUGACCGAGCAACGCCGCGUGAGUGAAGAAGGUUUUCGGAUCGUAAAGCUCUGUUGUAAGUCAAGAACGGGUGUGAGAGUGGAAAGUUCACACUGUGACGGUAGCUUACCAGAAAGGGACGGCUAACUACGUG